GACGAACGCUGGCGGCGUGCUUAACACAUGCAAGUCGAACGAUGAAGGAAAGAAUUGAAGCUUCGGCAGAAAUUCAUUUCGGAUUAGUGGCAGACGGGUGAGUAACGCGUGAGCAACCUACCUCUUACAAAGGGAUAGCCUCGGGAAACCGGGAUUAAUACCAUAUAACAUUGCGACGAAGCAUUUCGAUGCAAUCAAAGCUACGGCGGUAAGAGAUGGGCUCGCGUCCCAUUAACCAGAUGGUGAGGUAACGGCUCACCAUAGUAACGAUGGGUAACCGGCCUGAGAGGGUGAACGGUCACACUGGAACUGAGACACGGUCCAGACUCCUACGGGAGGCAGCAGUGGGGAAUAUUGCACAAUGGAGGGAACUCUGAUGCAGCGACGCCGCGUGAGUGAUGAAGGAAUUCGUUUCGUAAAACUCUGUUCUAUGGGAAGAAAAGGACUGUACCAUAGGAGAAAGCUCCGGCUAAAUACGUGC
RNAcentral lists this ribosomal RNA (481 nucleotides) under uncultured bacterium. RNAcentral describes it as "partial 16S ribosomal RNA". It matches the Rfam family "Bacterial small subunit ribosomal RNA", at positions 28 to 508 of the family's 1533-position model. The record is from RNAcentral.